RNAcentral lists this ribosomal RNA (407 nucleotides) under uncultured bacterium. RNAcentral's name for it is "bacterial SSU rRNA". It matches the Rfam family "Bacterial small subunit ribosomal RNA", at positions 29 to 419 of the family's 1533-position model. The record is from RNAcentral.
AACGAACGCUGGCGGCGUGCCUAACACAUGCAAGUCGUGCGAGAAAGUUCCUUCGGGAGCGAGUAAAGCGGCGCACGGGUGAGUAACACGUAGGUAACCUGCCCCCCAGUCUGGAACAACUAGAGGAAACUCUAGCUAAUGCCGGAUGAGACCACGAUCCCUUCGGGGGUUGCGGCCAAAGAUGGCCUCUACUUGUAAGCUAUCGCUGAGGGAUGGGCCUGCGGGCCAUUAGCUUGUUGGUGAGGUAACGGCUCACCAAGGCUGUGAUGGCUAGCUGGUCUGAGAGGAUGACCAGCCACACUGGGACUGAGACACGGCCCAGACUCCUACGGGAGGCAGCAGUGGGGAAUAUUGCGCAAAUGGGCGAAAGCCUGACGCAGCGAGCCGCGUGGGUGAUGAAGGCCUUC